AUGAGCAUUAGUCGACUAUGCUCACUAUAACUGCUUAGAUGUACAAAUUUAAUGCCUGCUUAGCUAGUACUAUUACUGCAAGUAGUUUCUCCUAUUUUUUUUAAUUGAUAUCAAAGGGGGAGAAAGAAAGAAAAAAAGUUGCAGGUGUGUUACAUGUGAACUACAACUACAAGGUUGCAGGUGUGUUACAACCUUACAGGUGAACUACAAGCUUCUUAAGUGCAGAUUCAAAUCAACAACCAGCUUAAAGACAGGGGGAGCACACUUGAAAAGAACAGGAAAGUAUCCAUAAAUUAGUCAAACUCUUUUUAGCUUAUUGUCAUCAUCAAAAAGGGGGAGAUUGUUAAGUGUAGAAUUUUAAUAAUGAUCAAAUAUCAAUAAAGAAGUCUUAACUAAUAUUAUAUUAAUAUAUACAGAUUCAGGUGAAGCAAGCAUUUCCAAAAAGGAAUGAAGAUUCACUCCAUGACUAUGUAUCUUGAACCAUUGUCUUAUAUGUAGCUCACCUGCAAAUACAAAUAGCAGAUUCUGUAUGAAGGAAGAUUCAAAAUGGAAAGGGAACACAAUGUAAUGAGAGACAACUUGAAGUGUUGUUCCUCUACCCAAUAAAGCAUGGAGCAUGGAAAGCACUCCCUCGAUAAAUUAAUCCAGCCCAUCAACUGCUCCUUUCUUCGACAAAGCAUGGAGCAUGGAAGCACUCCCUAGAUCUCGGCUUGGAGCACUCCCUGGAUUAUUAAAUCCAGCCCAUCCUUCUUGAAGGAAUUAAAGACACGGGUCAUGAAUCAAAUAUAAAUAAAAUAUUGUGUGCACCAAUCAAAAUAAAUCAUAGCAACUCUCAAAUCUGGUCUAUAAAAAGACUGGCAUACUCAAGGAUUGGGUGCGCAACUACACAAACUGAUUCUAAACCUUUCUAGUUCUUAGUACAAACACUGUAUUCUUGAGUCUACAAGUGUCAUAAAAGAUAGGAAGAGAUAGAACACAAAAAGAGAGUUGUGUCAACAUUAUAAAAGCUAUUAUCACUGAAUGUUAUUGAUGGUGAAUGAACCAAAACUAUCAUCAUUGUAACCUAUUAUCAAAGAUUUAAGAAGUACCUUGUGACCCAAGGGAAACUGAAUGUAAGUAUCUCACCGGUACUGAACCAGUAUAAAAUUGAUGUGUCCUGUUAUCUUUCAGUUUACUUGGUUUACUUCUCUUUAACUAUUCACUGUGCGGACUCUAGUCGACUAAACUCAUAUUUAGUCAACUAAGCUUUAAUCGACCACAAUUCACCCCAUGUACUUUCACUAUGUUCACGUUAGAGGUUAGUAUAGAAGUAUUGAAGAGCUGAUUUGAAAUGUUGAUUUUCUCUACUUCCUACAGACUAAAGCAUGUAAAAAAGCGAAAUCUAAAGAUGAUACAGAGAAUCAAACAACUUAGUAAGACAAAAAAUAAGUAAAGUGUAUAAGGAAUGGACAAAAAUAUUAGGUAGUUCAAUCAACGAAUUUAUUGCUGAAAGAUUUUGGGUAUAUUUAUUCUGAUCUAGUAAAAAAAAUAAAUCAGGUAAAAAGAAGGAAAAUCUAAUUUAAGCCAAAUAAAAGAAUAGAGGACAAUUGAUUGGAAAAAAGGAACUGAAUAACAUACAUAUUGGUCUCUUUAUGAAUUGAAUAUACACAAAUAAUAUGCCACAACUUGGAUAGUUAAAAAAAAUCUUAAGGACGUGAUAAAAAGUUUAUGGCAGAUUAAACAUGCAGGUAGAAAGACAAAUCAGGUUAGAAGAAGAAAAAUAUAAUUUACCGCAAAGAAAAUAAAAGAACACAUACUAUAAUAAAGUGUUCAUUAAUUUAAGCAGAAUAGUAUAUGAUUUUGUAUUGAAAAUCAGUAAAUAGUUAUAAAAGUUCAUACCAUUGUUAUUCGAGGAAUAUUUUGGUCGUUCUUUGUUCCGUAUGCAUAUUCUAUUUUUUCUUGCGAGUUUCUUCAAUUCUUCCAUGCCAAAGUGCCGUACAAACUGAUUUUGCUGUGAGAAGUUUAGAUAAUAUUGGAAUUUUUGUGGAGUCUUUCGGCAGAUAUCAGAUUGUGUUGUGAGAAAUUUUGAAGUAACUCUGAAGCAACCACAACAGGAUUGAGAACAACACUAUUUCCUAAGAGAAAUUAAGGUACUGUAGACAAACCUAGAAUCAUGAAAACCUUCGAUUCAUAUAUUGUCGUUG
This 2183-nucleotide long non-coding RNA is filed under the name Nicotiana tabacum (common tobacco). Its description in RNAcentral is "long non-coding RNA (NTAB_LNC005809)". The record is from RNAcentral. Lineage: Eukaryota; Viridiplantae; Streptophyta; Magnoliopsida; Solanales; Solanaceae.